UGAAAUGCGAAAAGUAAUGCGAUUUGCAUGAAUCUGUGAGUCAUCAAGUCUUUGAACGCACCUUGCACCGUAUGAGCAAUUGUACGGUAUACCUGUUUGAGAAUCGUAUCCAUCUUCCCCUAGCUAGUGAUAGUGUGGGGAGAGUUGUUGGCUUUGGAUGCGCGCAAGCGUGUCCAAUCCGAUUAAAUGCAGUAGGGUCUAGUCAGGCUGGUGGCCGGAGACACUGUGUGCUAGAGACAGCGACUUUCCUGAUAACAAAGGGGGGGUCCAGUCUUCUCACGGUGCGUCUCUGGUCUACAUAGCCGGUCUGACGGCGGUCCUCAAUGGAGAAAGGCAAGUGUGUGCGUCGUCAUGACGUGCUGCGGCCUUUUCCACCAUCUCAUUGAUCUCAAAUCAGGUA
This 400-nucleotide unclassified non-coding RNA is filed under the name uncultured fungus. Its description in RNAcentral is "sequence contains ITS1". The stretch from base 1 to 106 matches the Rfam family "5.8S ribosomal RNA", at positions 49 to 154 of the family's 154-position model. The record is from RNAcentral. Lineage: Eukaryota; Fungi.